This 2399-nucleotide long non-coding RNA is filed under the name Canis lupus familiaris (dog). Its description in RNAcentral is "lncRNA (ENSCAFG00845018769.1)". Lineage: Eukaryota; Metazoa; Chordata; Mammalia; Carnivora; Canidae. The record is from RNAcentral.
UCAAACUUAUACUCAAUCUUUUUAAUAGAAAAAUCUUGUCCACUUACAGACUAUAUAGUGUGCAAUUUCCAAGCACAGACUGUAUAAAUUUUAAUCAAUGGCAUGUUAAAGAACAUUGUAGAUAAAUAAAUUUUUUGAAUUUUCUAUACCUAUAUAAAUAAUCAUAAAUAAAUCUGUUCUUAAACUUGAUAUAGACUUUAUUAUUAAUUAUAUUUGUCAAUUCAAAUUUGGCUUCAAUUUGCCCAGAUAUGUAAGAUAAAUCAUCUGGUAUAUUUCUUUAGCAUGUUCUACUAAGUCAGGCAUGUUCUCUCUUGGAUAAAUUCAUAAUAAACAUCAUGGCCCCACAUAAUAAUGAAACCUGUAAUAUGAGAAUAUGUUCAUAACCCAUGCUUCAACAAGUAAAGUCCCUAAAAAUCAAAUUUCUUUCACUAAUUAAAGUAAUAUGAUUUCACUUCCUUGGAUAAUCUCACUUAUUUGGGAGUGUUAGCCAUAUAAUUCAGCCUCCAGGAAGCUGCGCUCUCAGUGUGGCCAAAGAGCAAAGAUGAAGGACUGGUCAAGUGGAAAGGAUGGAGGCUCUGGGCUGGGAGAAACAUAGCAGAAGUGUAAGACUUCAAAGCUAUCAUGGUUUCACUUGAACGCAAAGUGCUUGGUGUGGUUCUAAGAGACAGUAAUGGAAGCCGAAGGGAGAUGAAAUUCCUUUGAUUUGAAGAGACCAAGGAACUACAAACAUGGAAGUCAUGUAGUUAAUCCAGAGUCAGUAUGAAGGAUGAAACUGACUUGGGCAUGCAAAUCAUUAAUUAACGUGUACCUCCUUAGGAAAUUGUAUAUGGCAGUGAGCAAAAGAAAUAAUGCUGGAUGGUGUGGGAUUUACCACUAGGCAUAAGAGUAAUGGUCCAGAACUAUGCUAUCUGGCAUAGUAGCCACUAGCUUCACGUAGCUACCAAAUACUUGAAUUAUAGCUAGACCAAAUUGAAAUGUGCUGUGACUGUAAAAUACACACCAGCUACUGAAGACCUCAUACAAUAAAAAUGCUGUAAAAUAAGCAUCCAAUUAACAACUUUAUAUUAAUUUCAGGUUAGAAUAAGUAUAUCUAAAAUAAAAUAAGAAUAUUUUAUAUAUACUAGUUAACAUAAAAUAUAUUUGAAUAAAUUUCACCUGGUUCUUUUACUUUUUUUUUUUAUAAGAUGGCUACAGGAAAAUCUAACCUCACCUUUGUGGCUCACAUCUGUGGCUGACGUAUUUUUGUGGACAAGGAUGAUCAAGAAGUUUAAAUAAUUUCACGAAUCAUUAUACUUUUUUCCAACUGAGUGCUGACAUAUGAAAAGUACAGAGCUAGUUUAUUGUUGGUAAGAUUUUGGUACGCAGCCAUAUGAUAUAGUAAGAAAACAUGAAGUUAUUAAAAAGCAGGUGCAUAGUGGUUAGGACAAAAUAUUGGGAAUGAGUUUCUUUUCUUCCCAGGUUCUGGAUUUAGGUUGCUGUGGGAUUAUAAAAUCUGAUGGUGAAACUACAAUUCACACUCUUCUACUGACCCCCAUUCCUUUCCUUUGUCCCCAGUAAGUUCCUUCUUAGAUUCUUUCAUACCUGAGAAGAAAUGUCAAGCUGGGUCACAGAUCAUAUAACAGGUAAUUUUAUAUAUUAAUUGGAUUAAUUAAACAAUUUUUAAAAUAACAUAUAACAAUUUUAAAAAUAACUAUGUAUAUAUCCCCUAAUUUAUCUGAUGUAAUAGAAUUCAUGUGUGUCUGGUUUGGGACACUAGCUAAUCUUAAACUGCAACCUCUAACACAACCAGUGUUUAAAAACCACUCCCACAAUGACCACUCAUGGCUUGCAUUCAUGAAGGAUAGGACACGGCUCCUUUCCCAAUUACUCAAACUUGUUUUCUCUUGGCAUAUCUUUUUCCAUAUUAAAAACAAAGUAUGGUUUCUAAAAAUAAUAAAUUCAAAGAACAUAUUUUUGAAGCAGUCACCUUUCUCUCAAUUAUGUGGUGACAUAAUUAACCUUUAGAAAUGGAUACUGAUAAAACAAGGCAUGCUAAGAAUGCAAAGUAAUACACAGCAUCAAUUUAAGAGCAGGCCAAGGAGAAUCAGGGGCCAAAGAGAAAACAGUGGUAGUAAAACAAUCUGAAGCUAAGGAAAAACUUCACAAUAGCACAUAAUUUCAUCAUUGUGAGAGGUAGGCCAAAUAUUUGGCAAUGAGCUUUAAUAGCCAACAGAGAAAAGAGGAAACACGAUAUCAGGAAGUAGUCAUAGGGAUCAUGAGAGAAGAAUAAACCAGUUACUUUGGCACACUAUGUAAUUUCCUAAUAGUGAACCUGAAAAAAAAAAUUGCACUGUGGUUCUUUAAAAAGAACAAGUGAGGAGUGCCUAGGUGGCUCAGUUGGUUAAGUGUCUGCCUUCAGC